Molecule: ribosomal RNA, 451 nt
Filed under: uncultured bacterium
Lineage: Bacteria
Description: partial 16S ribosomal RNA
Rfam family: Bacterial small subunit ribosomal RNA
Source: RNAcentral
GAUGAAUGCUGGCGGCGUGCCUAACACAUGCAAGUCGAGCGGCAGCGAGGGGUGCUUGCACCCUGUCGGCGAGCGGCGAACGGCUGAGUAACGCGUAGGAAUUUGCCCCAAAGUGAGGAAUAACUGCCCGAAAGGGUAGCUAAUGCCGCAUAUGGUCUUCGGAUUAAAGGAUUUAUCCGCUUUGGGAGAAGCGUGCGUUGGAUUAGGUGGUUGGUAGGGUAAUGGCCUACCAAGCCGACGAUCCAUAGCUGGUCUGAGAGGAUGAUCAGCCAGACUGGAACUGAGACACGGUCCAGACUCCUACGGGAGGCAGCAGUGAGGAAUCUUCCACAAUGGGCGAAAGCCUGAUGGAGCAACGCCGCGUGAAGGAUGAAGGCCUUCGGGUUGUAAACUUCUUUUAUGAGUGAAGAAUAUGACGGUAACUCAUGAAUAAGCACCGGCUAACUACGUG